ACAAAUUAAAAUCUGGCAUCGACCCUUUCUUUCAAACAAGGCUUGCAAUUCAGUUCAACGAAUCACAUACAACUUGGCUAACAUGAAAGUUAGACAAGCGUUAAGAAAAACUAGCCUUUCAGCGUCUUCAAAUAUUUUACUCGACUGAACACAGCCUUUACAGAAUCUACAUGAUAUAUUCACAUAGCACACUAUAAUUAGC
Molecule: long non-coding RNA, 202 nt
Filed under: Panax ginseng (ginseng)
Lineage: Eukaryota; Viridiplantae; Streptophyta; Magnoliopsida; Apiales; Araliaceae
Description: long non-coding RNA (PGIN_LNC004558)
Source: RNAcentral